RNAcentral lists this ribosomal RNA (521 nucleotides) under Hymenoscyphus qinghaiensis. RNAcentral's name for it is "eukaryotic LSU rRNA". The stretch from base 176 to 329 matches the Rfam family "5.8S ribosomal RNA". Lineage: Eukaryota; Fungi; Ascomycota; Leotiomycetes; Helotiales; Helotiaceae. The record is from RNAcentral.
AAGGAUCAUUACAGAGUUCCUGCCCUUACGGGUAGAAACCCCACCCUUGUGUAUACUAUAUUGUUGCUUUAGCAGGUCGUCUACCUUAGGGUAGCGUUGGCUUCGGCCGACCGCGCCUGCUAGAGGACCUAAAACUCUGAAAUACAGUGUCGUCUGAGUACUAUUUAAUAGUUAAAACUUUCAACAACGGAUCUCUUGGUUCUGGCAUCGAUGAAGAACGCAGCGAAAUGCGAUAAGUAAUGUGAAUUGCAGAAUUCAGUGAAUCAUCGAAUCUUUGAACGCACAUUGCGCCCCGUGGUAUUCCGCGGGGCAUGCCUGUUCGAGCGUCAUUUAUAACCACCUCCUACUCUAUAGUAGGGUCUUGGGCUUCGCCUCUGGGCGGGUCUUAAAAUCAGUGGCGGUGCUGUUAGGCUCUACGCGUAGUAAUACAUUUCGCGAGAGAGCCCUGGCGGUGUCUUGCCAGCAACCCCCAACUUCUUAAGGUUGACCUCGGAUCAGGUAGGGAUACCCGCUGAACUUAA